UAGGGAAUCUUCCGCAAUGGACGAAAGUCUGACGGAGCAACGCCGCGUGAGUGAUGAAGGUUUUCGGAUCGUAAAGCUCUGUUGCCAGGGAAGAACGUCCGGUAGAGUAACUGCUAUCGGAGUGACGGUACCUGAGAAGAAAGCCCCGGCUAACUACGUGCCAGCAGCCGCGGUAAUACGUAGGGGGCAAGCGUUGUCCGGAAUUAUUGGGCGUAAAGCGCGCGCAGGCGGUCAUUUAAGUCUGGUGUUUAAUCCUGGGGCUCAACCCCGGGUCGCACUGGAAACUGGGUGGCUUGAGUACAGAAGAGGAGAGUGGAAUUCCACGUGUAGCGGUGAAAUGCGUAGAUAUGUGGAGGAACACCAGUGGCGAAGGCGACUCUCUGGGCUGUAACUGACGCUGAGGCGCGAAAGCGUGGGGAGCAAACA
Molecule: ribosomal RNA, 426 nt
Filed under: uncultured bacterium
Lineage: Bacteria
Also listed under: 1 other name
Description: bacterial SSU rRNA
Rfam family: Bacterial small subunit ribosomal RNA
Source: RNAcentral